GACGAACGCUGGCGGUGUGCUUAACACAUGCAAGUCGAACGGUAAGGCCCUUUCGGGGGUACACGAGUGGCGAACGGGUGCGUAACACGUGAGUAACCUGCCCUCAUCUCUGGGAUAACAGUCGGAAACGGUUGCUAAUACUGGAUAUGAGCUUGCAAGGCAUCUUGUGGGUUGGAAAGAUUUUUUUUGGUUGGGGAUGGACUCGCGGCCUAUCAGCUUGUUGGUGAGGUAGUGGCUCACCAAGGCUUCGACGGGUAGCCGGCCUGAGAGGGCGACCGGCCACAUUGGGACUGAGAUACGGCCCAAACUCCUACGGGAGGCAGCAGUGGGGAAUAUUGCACAAUGGACGGAAGUCUGAGGCAGCAACGCCGCGUGCGGGAUGACGGCCUUCGGGUUGUAAACCGCUUUCAAUUGUGACGAAGCUUUUUUGUGACGGUAGCAGUAGAAGAAGCACCGGCUAACUACGUG
RNAcentral lists this ribosomal RNA (468 nucleotides) under uncultured bacterium. RNAcentral's name for it is "partial 16S ribosomal RNA". It matches the Rfam family "Bacterial small subunit ribosomal RNA", at positions 28 to 507 of the family's 1533-position model. The record is from RNAcentral.